Molecule: transfer RNA, 90 nt
Filed under: Gammaproteobacteria bacterium
Lineage: Bacteria; Pseudomonadati; Pseudomonadota; Gammaproteobacteria
Also listed under: 2 other names
Description: tRNA-Ser
Rfam family: tRNA
About the family: Transfer RNA (tRNA) molecules are approximately 80 nucleotides in length. Their secondary structure includes four short double-helical elements and three loops (D, anti-codon, and T loops). Further hydrogen bonds mediate the characteristic L-shaped molecular structure. tRNAs have two regions of fundamental functional importance: the anti-codon, which is responsible for specific mRNA codon recognition, and the 3' end, to which the tRNAs corresponding amino acid is attached (by aminoacyl-tRNA synthetases). tRNAs cope with the degeneracy of the genetic code in two manners: having more than one tRNA (with a specific anti-codon) for a particular amino acid; and 'wobble' base-pairing, i.e. permitting non-standard base-pairing at the 3rd anti-codon position.
Source: RNAcentral
GGAGGGGUGCCAGAGUGGUCGAAUGGGCUUGACUCGAAAUCAAGUGUAGGGUCUUCCCUACCGUGGGUUCGAAUCCCACCCCCUCCGCCA